GACCUCAGAAGAUCAGCUUUUACCGUCCAAGGUUCACUUUGCCUAAAAGCUGAUUGUUCCUGUGGAAACAGUAGCAUCGGAUGACCCUACAAACAAAGCAUUAUGACAUCAUCAGAGCCAACAACCUGGCAUGACAGAUACUAAUAAGGAAAAAAGAGGUUACAAGAAUUCUGACACUCAUCACAGUGGAUCCAAUAUCUGGUCCCUUGGGUUUCAUAUAUGUUAGAAGUAUCUUCUCAGGAGGGAAAAGUCAAUGCCAGUCAUAUCCUUUCUAGGUAUUAGAAAUGUCCAUCAGCUUACGAGGAGAUUCUCCCUCAUCUCACAAACUACCUGCAUCUCCACUUCCCUGGAAGAAAAAAAAAAUCUGGACAUACCCAAGCUGUGUAUGUGCCUGAGAUCUUCCCUUCCAAGGGAUUUAUUAAACUGGGAAGUCAGAAGCAGUCCUGUGAACAUUUGUUUGUUGAAGCAUGAAAAGGCAGAAUUGAUGAGUCCUUGCCCUGAAAACCAAGAUGCUGUGCGAAAAACCCUGGAUUGGGAACCAGAAGAGUUGAGUGCUCAUCCUGAUCCUUCCCAGGAGUGAUACUAAACUUGUUUAACAACAGGAGAAGGAAGAAGCUUCUUAAACUAAAAUGGGAGGAGAUAAGAGAUGCCAGAGAAACAUAAACUACAGAUGUCCACUACUACAAGGAAUAUAUUCAGUAUAUUCAGCAGACAAUUCUACACCACAAGUUUCCGGCCCUUAAGCUGAGAGAAGGGUGCCACCACAGGUAACCAUCAGAGAACACACUGCUAUUUUCAAAUAAAC
RNAcentral lists this long non-coding RNA (805 nucleotides) under Homo sapiens (human). RNAcentral's name for it is "long non-coding RNA NONHSAT215971.1". Lineage: Eukaryota; Metazoa; Chordata; Mammalia; Primates; Hominidae. The record is from RNAcentral.